UAAAAAACUUGGAUUACUGAAAAAUUAGAAGAUUGGGAAGAUGGAAGAAAAUUUUUUAGGAAGUUAUUAGCUUUAGCAUUAUUACCGAGUACUGACAUCAUACCAACAUUUAAUUGGUUAGUGGUGAUCCAUGCACCGUUUUAUCUUAUUUUCAAAGAUUUUCUGAAUUACUUCGUUGAUUAUUGGUUGAUGAUAAUUAAACCUGUUGGAUUUUGUGUAUUCAAAUUAAAAAAUCGUACAAAUAACUUUACCGAAGCAUAUCACCGAAGACUAAACAAAUUCUUUGGCUUACAUCCAUCACUGUGGCAAUUUACAGCAAGUCUAAGAGAUUUUCAUGAUAUGACUAAAAUUGAAAUAGAAUCGCUACAAUUACUAACGCUCCCCAUACGCAGAGCUCCACGGUCGAAUAAUUUAAUUAGAGCUGAAGUCUUAGAGAGAGCAUGGGAUAUGUAUGAAUCGAAUGUACUCGAUAUUGCUCAUUUUAUUGAAUUCGCUGCUCAUUGGUCACCAGUUUUAAGAAAUAGAAAUGUUAUGAUUAAUAUUGAAGACAUCAAUAAUUUUAUCAAUAUUCCUAUCUACAGAUACAUUGCAGUGCCAGGUAAUAAUUACAUUGUUUUCAAUAAUGAUGCAGCAAAUCAGUUGGACUACAUAAUAUAUGAACAACCGAAUGAAUAAUUCAUUAACAAUGUAACGAAUCAAAUAAUCU
This is a long non-coding RNA of Cotesia glomerata, 706 nucleotides long. RefSeq lists it as uncharacterized. The transcript is spliced from 3 exons. The record is from RefSeq and is a predicted model, not a curated record. Lineage: Eukaryota; Metazoa; Arthropoda; Insecta; Hymenoptera; Braconidae.